GCCAGACUCCUACGGGAGGCAGCAGUGAGGAAUAUUGGUCAAUGGCCGAGAGGCUGAACCAGCCAAGUCGCGUGAGGGAUGACGGCCCUACGGGUUGUAAACCUCUUUUGUCGGGGAGCAAAGAGAGUCACGUGUGGCUCAUUGAGAGUACCCGAAGAAAAAGCAUCGGCUAACUCCGUGCCAGCAGCCGCGGUAAUACGGAGGAUGCGAGCGUUAUCCGGAUUUAUUGGGUUUAAAGGGUGCGUAGGCGGACUGUUAGGUGGGGGGUAAAAGCCGGGGGCUCACCCCCGGCGAGCCGUUGAAACUGGCUGUCUUGAGAUGUCGAGAGGUAUGCGGAAUGCGCAGUGUAGCGGUGAAAUGCAUAGAUAUCACGCAGAACUCCGAUUGCGAAGGCAGCAUACCGGCGCGCAACUGACGCUCAUGCACGAAAGCGUGGGUAUCGAACAGGAUUAGAUACCCCUGUA
RNAcentral lists this ribosomal RNA (464 nucleotides) under uncultured bacterium. RNAcentral describes it as "bacterial SSU rRNA". It matches the Rfam family "Bacterial small subunit ribosomal RNA", at positions 330 to 792 of the family's 1533-position model. The record is from RNAcentral.